This 468-nucleotide ribosomal RNA is filed under the name uncultured bacterium. RNAcentral's name for it is "partial 16S ribosomal RNA". It matches the Rfam family "Bacterial small subunit ribosomal RNA", at positions 28 to 507 of the family's 1533-position model. The record is from RNAcentral.
GACGAACGCUGGCGGCGUGCUUAACACAUGCAAGUCGAACGGAAAGGCCCUGCGUUUGUGGGGUGCUCGAGUGGCGAACGGGUGAGUAACACGUGAGUAACCUGCCCUUGACUUUGGGAGAACUUCAGGAAACUGGGGCUAAUACCGCAUAGGAUCUCUUGCUGCAUGUUGUGGGUUGGUAAGUUUCGGCUGUUGGGGAUGGACUCGCGGGUUAUCAGCUUGUUGGUGGGGUAGUGGCUUACCAAGGCUUUGACGGGUAGCCGGCCUGGGAGGGUGACCGGCCACCUUGGGACUGAGAUAGGGCCCAGCAUCCUACGGGAGGCAGCAGUGGGGAAUAUUGCACAAUGGGCGGACGCCUGAUGUAGCAACGCCGCGUGCGGGAUGACGGCCUUCGGGUUGUAAACCGAUUUCGCAUGUGACGAAGCGUGAGUGACGGUACUGGGUAAAGAAGCACCGGCUAACUACGUG